CAAAAGUAAGAAGUACAUAAAACUAAAAUAAAUCAAGAAUAACAAAACAAAACAACAAUCCAAGACAUCAAUUCAUCCCCCAAACCAACAAAAAAAAUAGGUAGGUAAAAACUCCAGACAUAAAAAAAAUCGUCUCGAAGUGACCCUGAAAUCCAAUAAAAAAAAAAAAAUAUAGGUAAGAUUGUUCAUCAAUCGGCACACGCCAUGCUUAACCAAAAAAAAAAUACAUUUACCCCUAUUAGGAAUAAGUCCCAGA
Molecule: long non-coding RNA, 256 nt
Organism: Episyrphus balteatus (marmalade hoverfly)
Lineage: Eukaryota; Metazoa; Arthropoda; Insecta; Diptera; Syrphidae
Exons: 2
Source: RefSeq, a predicted model, not a curated record